This 466-nucleotide ribosomal RNA is filed under the name uncultured bacterium. Its description in RNAcentral is "partial 16S ribosomal RNA". It matches the Rfam family "Bacterial small subunit ribosomal RNA", at positions 28 to 507 of the family's 1533-position model. The record is from RNAcentral.
GACGAACGCUGGCGGCGUGCUUAACACAUGCAAGUCGAACGGAAAGGCCCUGCUUGCAGGGUACUCGAGUGGCGAACGGGUGAGUAACACGUGGGUGAUCUGCCCUGCACUUCGGGAUAAGCUUGGGAAACUGGGUCUAAUACCGGAUAGGAGCCAUCUUUAGUGUGGUGGUUGGAAAGUUUUUUCGGUGUAGGAUGAGCUCGCGGCCUAUCAGCUUGUUGGUGGGGUAAUGGCCUACCAAGGCGGCGACGAGUAGCCGGCCUGAGAGGGUGUACGGCCACAUUGGGACUGAGAUACGGCCCAGACUCCUACGGGAGGCAGCAGUGGGGAAUAUUGCACAAUGGGCGCAAGCCUGAUGCAGCGACGCCGCGUGGGGGAUGAAGGCCUUCGGGUUGUAAACUCCUUUCGCUAGGGACGAAGCUUUUUUGUGACGGUACCUAGAUAAGAAGCACCGGCUAACUACGUG